This 800-nucleotide long non-coding RNA is filed under the name Homo sapiens (human). RNAcentral describes it as "non-protein coding lnc-HMGA1-1:1". Lineage: Eukaryota; Metazoa; Chordata; Mammalia; Primates; Hominidae. The record is from RNAcentral.
GCAACUGCAAGGCCCAGCCCGCCGCUCCCCACCCCGCCUCCGCGCCGGGCCCAGGGCUUUCCUGCGUCCCCUCCACCGCCGGCUCGCCCCCUGAGGAGGGGGCUGGGCCAGGGCCUCGGCUGACCGGGGAGGAAGAAGGGGAGCAGAGAAAAACAUGAGUCACAGCCGUGUGUCACUGGAGCGCAUUUCAAUUCCCUGCAUCACAGGAGUCCCAACGGAAGGGCCCAGGUCCCCAAGUGGGCCUGCGUAUCUCCAGAACACCAUCUAAGUCACCUCAAGGUAUGAAGCCUCCCUUGGGUGUACCUGCCAACGAGCCAAUCGUUGGUUUCGCUGGAAGGCUCCACCUUGAUCAUGGCUCGCUGGUGGCCAUUAAUAAAACACUUUGGAUUUCACAAGUUUCACGUUUGAAUUUCACAAGACUUGUAUCUCACCAAUCAGCCACACGCGGGUUGACACUGAAAGGCACAUGCUGACACCUGUCCGCCCAGGGGAAAUCUACCAUCUCUCUAUUUUAGUUAGGGGGCGGCGUGUAGGCCGCGGAAUUCUCUAACGAGCGCGUUUCUCUUCACCCCCUGGGCCCGCGUGGACCCCCGUCCACCCCCACACGCCCUGGGGGGGGGGCCGGGCCCACACGCCCUGGAAGCCCCUAGAGGUGACUCUCCCUGGGACCCCUGUACCAGGGAGGAAGGAUACCGCCACCCGUCACCACCCCCCGCCAGAAGCUCCUUCGUGACUCCUCUGCGCGUGCCUUCCCACACCUCCUCCGUCCGGGACUGCGAGGAGUGGGCGGUCGACUCGAG